ACCUACGGGGGGCAGCAGUAGGGAAUAUUGCACAAUGGGCGCAAGCCUGAUGCAGCAACGCCGCGUGCGCGAUGAAGGCCUUCGGGUCGUAAAGCGCUUUUCGGGGAGAUGAGGAAGGACCGUAUCCCCGGAAUAAGUCUCGGCUAACUACGUGCCAGCAGCCGCGGUAAAACGUAGGAGGCAAGCGUUAUCCGAAUUUACUGGGCGUAAAGCGUGUGCAGGCGGAUUGGUAAGUUGGGUGUGAAAUCUCCCGGCUCAACUGGGAGAGGUCGCUCAAGACUGCCAAACUGGAGGGCGGUAGAGGGAGGUGGAAUUCCGGGUGUAGUGGUGAAAUGCGUAGAUAUCCGGAGGAACACCUGUGGCGAAAGCGGCCUCCUGGACCGUACCUGACGCUGAGACACGAAAGCUAGGGGAGCGAACGGGAUUAGAUACCCUUGUAGUCC
This 443-nucleotide ribosomal RNA is filed under the name uncultured bacterium. Its description in RNAcentral is "bacterial SSU rRNA". It matches the Rfam family "Bacterial small subunit ribosomal RNA", at positions 337 to 796 of the family's 1533-position model. The record is from RNAcentral.